This 433-nucleotide ribosomal RNA is filed under the name uncultured bacterium. Its description in RNAcentral is "partial 16S ribosomal RNA". It matches the Rfam family "Bacterial small subunit ribosomal RNA", at positions 29 to 507 of the family's 1533-position model. The record is from RNAcentral.
AGCGAACGCUGGCGGCAGGCCUAACACAUGCAAGUCGAACGGAUCCUUCGGGAUUAGUGGCGGACGGGUGAGUAACACGUGGGAACGUGCCCUUUGGUUCGGAACAACUCAGGGAAACUUGAGCUAAUACCGGAUGUGCCCUUCGGGGGAAAGAUUUAUCGCCAUUGGAGCGGCCCGCGUCUGAUUAGCUAGUUGGUGAGGUAACGGCCCACCAAGGCGACGAUCAGUAGCUGGUCUGAGAGGAUGAUCAGCCACACUGGGACUGAGACACGGCCCAGACUCCUACGGGAGGCAGCAGUGGGGAAUCUUGCGCAAUGGGCGAAAGCCUGACGCAGCCAUGCCGCGUGAAUGAUGAAGGUCUUAGGAUUGUAAAAUUCUUACAGCGGGGACGAUAAUGACGGUACCCGCAGAAGAAGCUCCGGCUAACUUCGUG